AAUUAUUAUUAGAUUUUUUAAAUAAUUAUUCACGAAAUAAAUUGAGCUAAAUAAUAGUUUUUUUGGAAAUUUAUAACUAUAUGUUACAAAAUAUAUUAACUAUAUAUAUUUAGGGGUGAAAGGCCUAUCAAAUUUUAUGAUAUCUUGAAGUAUACAAAAUAUAUUAAGUAUUUUUAAUUCAACUAUUGAAUGUUUAGGUUCAAUGGCCACAUUAUAUUUUUUAAAGGUUUAUUUAAUUUUUUUAAGUAAAAUUAAUUUUAAGUAUAGAACAUAAAUCAAAUUUAUAUUAUAUGAAUAUAAGUAUACUAUGGUUAUCAAUAAAUACAAUCAUAUAUAAUGUAAUUAUUAGUAAUACUUAUUAAACUAUAUAAAGGAAUUCGGCAAAAAAAUUUUUCAACUGUUUAUCAAAAACAUAGCUUGUUGAAUAACAUAAUAAGUAACCCCUGCUCAAUGGAAAUUCUAAAUAGCCGCAGUACCUUGACUGUGCAAAGGUAGCAUAAUCAAUUGGCUUAUAAUUGAAGUCUGGAAUGAAUGGGUAAUCUGGAAAAUAACUGUCUUUAUUUUAGUACUUUUGAAGUUACUUAUAAAGUGAAAAUACUUUAAUUUAAAUAUAAGACGAGAAGACCCUAGAAAUUUUGUGUAUAUUUACUUUUGUUGGGGCGACAGGGUAACAUAUAACUUACCUUUAUUUAAUAUAAACCUUAUAAGGUAUAUAAUUAAAUUACUCUAGGGAUAACAGCAUAAUAUAUAAAAGUUUAUGACCUCGAUGUUGGACUAGGUAAUUAAAUAUUUAAAAGAUUUUUAAUGUUGCUCUGUUCGAGCAGUAUCACCUACAU
This 836-nucleotide ribosomal RNA is filed under the name Perforatella incarnata. RNAcentral's name for it is "Monachoides incarnatus partial large subunit ribosomal RNA". The record is from RNAcentral. Lineage: Eukaryota; Metazoa; Mollusca; Gastropoda; Stylommatophora; Hygromiidae.